GCGCCCGUAGCUCAGCGGAUAGAGUGCCGGCCUGCGGAGCCGGAGGCCGCAGGUUCAAAUCCUGCCGGGCGCA
This 73-nucleotide transfer RNA is filed under the name Pseudomonadota bacterium. RNAcentral's name for it is "tRNA-Arg". It matches the Rfam family "tRNA". From Rfam's summary of the family: Transfer RNA (tRNA) molecules are approximately 80 nucleotides in length. Their secondary structure includes four short double-helical elements and three loops (D, anti-codon, and T loops). Further hydrogen bonds mediate the characteristic L-shaped molecular structure. tRNAs have two regions of fundamental functional importance: the anti-codon, which is responsible for specific mRNA codon recognition, and the 3' end, to which the tRNAs corresponding amino acid is attached (by aminoacyl-tRNA synthetases). tRNAs cope with the degeneracy of the genetic code in two manners: having more than one tRNA (with a specific anti-codon) for a particular amino acid; and 'wobble' base-pairing, i.e. permitting non-standard base-pairing at the 3rd anti-codon position. Lineage: Bacteria; Pseudomonadati; Pseudomonadota. The record is from RNAcentral. RNAcentral also lists the same sequence under 4 other names.